This 543-nucleotide long non-coding RNA is filed under the name Elaeis guineensis (African oil palm). RNAcentral's name for it is "long non-coding RNA (EGUI_LNC023185)". Lineage: Eukaryota; Viridiplantae; Streptophyta; Magnoliopsida; Arecales; Arecaceae. The record is from RNAcentral.
GGCUCUUCAGGGGUUCAGGGGGGGUCUCCAAGAGAGAGAGAGCUUUUGUGAGGGAAACUUCAUGUGAGAGAGAAUUGGGUGUACAAGGGUUGAGGGUGAGGUCUCCUCUUGUAAAAUUUUCUUUUCAUAGUGAAGUUUGCAUGCCCCGUGGAGGCGAGCCAUUUUGUGGCUGAUCCACGUAUUUUGAUUGUUUUUCCUUUUGUUUUAUUUCUUCUUUCUUCCUGCUGCAUCGCAUGGUACUGAAAGGAUCUUGGGAGGUGGUGUCCUGGCCAGACAUCCACCCAACACACUGUGUUUUUUUCGAUGCUUCUAGGAGAUCGGUUGUGCUGACCGUCUUAAGCUCUUCAACCAGUUGUAUGAGAGCAAUAUUGAUCUGACUAGAAUCGAUUAUACGAUUCUGACUCUCAUAUCCAAACAUACAGAGCUGGUCUUAUUUUAGCCAAUCCAAAAGAUGUUAGCACUGAACAUGCUUUGAGAUCUAACUUCAACAUCUCAAAUAAUGGUACAGAAUGUGAAGUACUUAUGUGAUGGCCCGGCCCGAGU